RNAcentral lists this non-coding RNA (135 nucleotides) under Streptomyces mobaraensis. RNAcentral describes it as "SAM-I sequence". It matches the Rfam family "SAM riboswitch aptamer (S box leader)". From Rfam's summary of the family: The SAM riboswitch is found upstream of a number of genes which code for proteins involved in methionine or cysteine biosynthesis in Gram-positive bacteria. The record is from Rfam by way of RNAcentral. Lineage: Bacteria; Bacillati; Actinomycetota; Actinomycetes; Kitasatosporales; Streptomycetaceae.
CGCUCAUCCAGAGGGGCAGAGGGACACGGCCCGUUGAAGCCCCGGCAACCCUCCAGCCGGUCUCCUAGUGAGGCUCCCGGCGGGGAAGGUGCCAAUUCCGUCUCGUGGCGAGGUUCGCCACGGGGAAGAUGAGGA